Molecule: ribosomal RNA, 561 nt
Filed under: Planotetraspora sp. 316A11
Lineage: Bacteria; Bacillati; Actinomycetota; Actinomycetes; Streptosporangiales; Streptosporangiaceae
Also listed under: 11 other names
Description: bacterial SSU rRNA
Rfam family: Bacterial small subunit ribosomal RNA
Source: RNAcentral
GAGCGGCGAACGGGUGAGUAACACGUGAGUAACCUGCCCCUGACUCUGGGAUAAGCCUGGGAAACUGGGUCUAAUACCGGAUAUGACAUCUACCCGCAUGGGUGGGAUGUGGAAAGUUUUUUCGGUUGGGGAUGGGCUCGCGGCCUAUCAGCUUGUUGGUGGGGUAGUGGCCUACCAAGGCGACGACGGGUAGCCGGCCUGAGAGGGCGACCGGCCACACUGGGACUGAGACACGGCCCAGACUCCUACGGGAGGCAGCAGUGGGGAAUAUUGCGCAAUGGGCGGAAGCCUGACGCAGCGACGCCGCGUGGGGGAUGACGGCCUUCGGGUUGUAAACCUCUUUCAGCAGGGACGAAGUUGACGUGUACCUGUAGAAGAAGCGCCGGCUAACUACGUGCCAGCAGCCGCGGUAAUACGUAGGGCGCAAGCGUUGUCCGGAAUUAUUGGGCGUAAAGAGCUCGUAGGUGGCUUGUUGCGUCUGCCGUGAAAGCCCGUGGCUUAACUGCGGGUCUGCGGUGGAUACGGGCAGGCUAGAGGCUGGUAGGGGCAAGCGGAAUUCCU